CCCUUAGAUGUUCUGGGCAGCACGCGCGCUACAAUGGUCUUCGCAAACGGAUGCAUUCUCGAAGGAGAAUGCCAAUCUUGGAAUCUAUGCCUUGGUCGGGACAGUUGCUUGCAAUUUUUCGACUCGAACCAGGAAUUCCUUGUAAUCGUGAUUCAUCACAUCACGAUGAAUACGUCCCUGCCCUUUGUACACACCGCCCGUCGUUUCUUCCGACUGAUACGGAUUGUGAGUUGCAUGGAUUCUUCAUUGGAGAAAUGCUGCGAAUGCUUCGUAUUGGAGGAAGAAAAAGUCGUAACA
This 297-nucleotide ribosomal RNA is filed under the name uncultured eukaryote. Its description in RNAcentral is "partial 18S ribosomal RNA". It matches the Rfam family "Eukaryotic small subunit ribosomal RNA", at positions 1470 to 1796 of the family's 1831-position model. The record is from RNAcentral.